UACGUAGGGUGCGAGCGUUGUCCGGAAUUACUGGGCGUAAAGAGCUUGUAGGUGGUUUGUCGCGUUGUUCGUGAAAUCUCACGGCUCAACUGUGAGCGUGCGGGCGAUACGGGCAGACUAGAGUACUGCAGGGGAGACUGGAAUUCCUGGUGUAGCGGUGGAAGUGCGCAGAUAUCAGGAGGAACACCGGUGGCGAAGGCGGGUCUCUGGGCAGUAACUGACGCUGGAGAAGCGAAAGCCGUGGGGAGCAAACAGG
This 256-nucleotide ribosomal RNA is filed under the name uncultured bacterium. RNAcentral describes it as "partial 16S ribosomal RNA". It matches the Rfam family "Bacterial small subunit ribosomal RNA", at positions 524 to 776 of the family's 1533-position model. The record is from RNAcentral.